RNAcentral lists this ribosomal RNA (254 nucleotides) under uncultured bacterium. RNAcentral's name for it is "partial 16S ribosomal RNA". It matches the Rfam family "Bacterial small subunit ribosomal RNA", at positions 524 to 776 of the family's 1533-position model. The record is from RNAcentral.
UACGUAGGAGGCGAGCGUUGUCCGGAAUUACUGGGCGUAAAGGGCGCGUAAGCGGGAUGGCAAGUCGGUCGUGAAAUCCCUCGGCUCAACCGAGGAACGUCGAUCGAUACUGCUGUUCUUGAGGAUUGCAGAGGAGACUGGAAUUCCCGGUGUAGCGGUGAAAUGUGUAGAGAUCGGGAGGAACACCGGUGGCGAAGGCGGGUCUCUGGGCCGAUACUGACACUGAGGAGCGAAAGCCGUGGGGAGCGAACAGG